Molecule: ribosomal RNA, 513 nt
Filed under: uncultured bacterium
Lineage: Bacteria
Description: partial 16S ribosomal RNA
Rfam family: Bacterial small subunit ribosomal RNA
Source: RNAcentral
GACGAACGCUGGCGGCAUGCCUAAUACAUGCAAGUCGAGCGAACAGAUAAGGAGCUUGCUCCUUUGAAGUUAGCGGCGGACGGGUGAGUAACACGUGUGUAACCUACCUAUAAGACUGGGAUAACUUCGGGAAACCGGAGCUAAUACCGGAUAACAUUUAGAACCGCAUGGUUCUAAAGUGAAAGAUGGUUUUGCUAUCACUUAUAGAUGGACCUGCGCCGUAUUAGCUAGUUGGUAAGGUAACGGCUUACCAAGGCGACGAUACGUAGCCGACCUGAGAGGGUGAUCGGCCACACUGGAACUGAGACACGGUCCAGACUCCUACGGGAGGCAGCAGUAGGGAAUCUUCCGCAAUGGGCGAAAGCCUGACGGAGCAACGCCGCGUGAGUGAUGAAGGGUUUCGGCUCGUAAAACUCUGUUAUUAGGGAAGAACAAAUGUGUAAGUAACUGUGCGCAUCUUGACGGUACCUAAUCAGAAAGCCACGGCUAACUACGUGCCAGCAGCCGCCGUAA